Molecule: long non-coding RNA, 163 nt
Filed under: Dromaius novaehollandiae (emu)
Lineage: Eukaryota; Metazoa; Chordata; Aves; Casuariiformes; Dromaiidae
Description: lncRNA (ENSDNVG00000003328.1)
Source: RNAcentral
ACCUUCACAACUUCAUCAUUUGCCCCAGCAAAAGUAAAAAUAACAGAGCAGAGCAUUGUGGUUACUGGAUUUCGGUCAUGAAACUUGGAAUGAACUGUUUUGGAGAUGAACAUUAAUGAAUACUAAGGUAUAGUGCUAUAAGUGUAAUGGUGAAAUAAACUAC